CCUACGGUGGGCAGCAGUCGAGAAUAAUUCACAAUGGGGGAAACCCUGAUGGUGCGACGCCGCGUGGGGGAAUGAAGGUCUUCGGAUUGUAAGCCCCUGUCAUGUGGGAGCAAAAUAAAAAGAUCGUACCCCUAGAGGAAGAGCCUGCUAACUCUGUGCCAGCAGCCGCGGUAAUAAAGAGGUAUCAAGCGGUUUUCGGAAUCACUGGGCGUAAAGGCUGAGUAGGCUGUUUCGUACGUCGUGAGUGAAAGGCGCGGGCUCAACCCGCGGACGGCACAUGAUACUGCGAGACUCGGGUGAUGGAGGGGGAACCGGAAUUCUCGGUGUAGCAGUGAAAUGCGUAGAUAUCGAGAGGAACACUCGUGGCGAAGGCGGGUUCCUGGACAGUAACUGACGCUGAGGCACGAAGGCCAGGGGAGCGAAAGGGAUUAGAUACCCUUGUAGUC
Molecule: ribosomal RNA, 446 nt
Filed under: uncultured bacterium
Lineage: Bacteria
Description: partial 16S ribosomal RNA
Rfam family: Bacterial small subunit ribosomal RNA
Source: RNAcentral